AAUUUAAAUAAUCAUUGAGACAGAAUAUAUGGAUGAGAGACUGACCUGGUAGAUAUGGCACUCAGCUAGAAGUCAAUGCCAUGGUUUUGUACAGGCUUAUGUGUUGUGUGUGCAGAAUCCUCCCAAAAACAGAGAUGAGAGAAGAAUUCUGUUUUGGCUGCUUAUUCUGUACCUUGACUGAGGAGAGGAAGAAGAAAGAAAAAGUGCAUGGCUGACUCCCCAGAUAAAAGAUUCCCCAGUGGCCACAACAGCUACUACCAAUACAAAAGGAACAAAUCUUUUCUGCAACUUAACGAGGCCAAGGAUAAGAUACGGAAACAUGUGAGAAGUUUGCAAAUUGCACAGUUGUCAUGUGUAGUGUUACAUGCCUUAAAACAAAGAAGGCUAAUGCUGACUAAAUUGUACCACAGAUCAGUGUGUUGAAGAGUCAAUAAUAGAUUCUAUGAGC
Long non-coding RNA from Alligator sinensis (Chinese alligator), 448 nucleotides. RefSeq lists it as uncharacterized. The transcript is spliced from 3 exons. The record is from RefSeq and is a predicted model, not a curated record. Lineage: Eukaryota; Metazoa; Chordata; Crocodylia; Alligatoridae.